AAACCAUGAUGAGGACACUCUAAGAGAAGAUCUUUAAAACGUUCCAUACACCUAGAAAACGUUUUCAUUGGGUUUUUGUCAAAACCGGAGAAUGGCGUUCCUAAGUUU
This 108-nucleotide small nucleolar RNA is filed under the name Cephalotus follicularis. Its description in RNAcentral is "Plant small nucleolar RNA R71". It matches the Rfam family "Plant small nucleolar RNA R71". From Rfam's summary of the family: R71 is a member of the C/D box family of snoRNAs containing the C (UGAUGA) and D (CUGA) box motifs. Multiple nearly identical copies of this snoRNA have been identified in Arabidopsis, and it is thought to function as a 2'-O-ribose methylation guide for 18S ribosomal RNA. Lineage: Eukaryota; Viridiplantae; Streptophyta; Magnoliopsida; Oxalidales; Cephalotaceae. The record is from Rfam by way of RNAcentral.